Cyprinus carpio carpio is the source of this 5967-nucleotide long non-coding RNA. Lineage: Eukaryota; Metazoa; Chordata; Actinopteri; Cypriniformes; Cyprinidae. The record is from Ensembl.
GUGAGUUGCUCAUCUAAUUCUCUUUAUGGGCUUCUGUUGUGCAAACCUGCCGAGUCUAAGAGCUAUAUCUGCGGACCCAUUUCGUUCAUUUUUCUUGACUGCAGCAAGAGAACGAAUUUGGGGCGGUACGGUGGUUUAACCGUGUGUGAGGAAUGAGCGCGCGCUCUGUGUUUGAGAAUGGCGAUUUGCGGCAUUAAAUGUGUUGUUCACUGAAGGGGUUUACCGACAGUGUAGAUAAUUCUGCGUAGCAAGUACACUUUGCGGGGUUUACCGGAGGUGUUUUGCGGGCGCUUUCAGGGUUUACUGAAGCGCAACAGUUUUUGAGACACGCGCUGUCAGGGAUUACUGCAGCGUGCUGGUCAGAUCUGUAUGUCGAUUCUCUGUUUUGAUAUAGGCUCUGGGAUGGACUCGGCAGUCUUGACACUGGCAGAAUUCCUCCUUGCGACUAAAUUCUAAAUCCAUAUAUUUUGACAAUUGUUUGACUGUGGCAGAAUACCACAUUGUGACUGACUUUCAAUUUUGUAUAAUUGUUAUAAUUGUCAGACGGCUGAUCAAAUUAAACAAAUUAAGAGUAAAGAGAACACCAAAUUUAACAAUUUAAUUAAAUGAAUUUAAUUAAGUGUAUUUAAUUGAGUGUAUCUGAAUUGAAUAAAACUUUUUCUUUGUUGGGGGUGUCAACACACGAAGUAAUGGCUCAUGUGUAUGUAAAAGGAGCUCUUAACGAAACUCUCACUGCCCAAAUAGCGAUGUUAGGCAUCGGAAAUAAAGAAAAGAUUAAACAGAAAAUGGUAAAGAUGAAUUUAAAGAAAUAUGGGGUCCGUAGGCAGUGUGAAUGGGGGUGAUGAAGGAAGAUAAUAAGAUAAUGAUCCUAAGAAACAAAAGAAAUAUGCACGAGUUUUGUGUUGUUUGAGGAUUGUGCAAGCAAAAGGUAUUUUAACAUAUCGCAAUGGAAGAAUAGUUUAUGUGGAUAAACUGGCACAAGCGGCUAGAGAUGCUACGCAAUAUAUGUGGGAUUUAUUAGACAUUGUAACUAAGGAACCAAGAGCAGAUACAGGGAGAGUUUCUAAAAUUGAUGAUAUCUAUAGCUUCAAAACUGAAAGCAGUGAUUGCCAAGGCAGGGAGACAUGUGACGAAUGUUUCUGAAAACAGUGGUAUACAGGUUGCAGCUAUUUCUCCUGGGGACCUGGAGGAAGCUGAGAAUGAGUGGGGCGAGUAUGUGAAACUGCGUCCAAAAUUACCCCGCUGUAGUGAAAUUGAUCAGGAAUUGAUAGCGGCUGGUCAAGUGGGGGUUUAUCGAUCCAUGGGUGUGCGAGAUUUGACUAGUAUUGUAAAUAUACUGCCACUCAUGAAAUCUAACAGUACCAAUUCUGAAUUUUGGGAUCGUUUGUGGGUAAUGGCAAGAGCCAACCGCCUAGCAGUAAAAGAUCUGUAUUCAAUUUGUGAGCAAGUCUGCCCAUCUACAUACACGGGACAGAUUGUUAAUCUCACCCCUCCCUUACAGCCACAAGCAAAUGCAGAUGAUUACGCAACUCAGUACAGAGUGCUGCGUACUGAAGUAAAGCGUGCAGUUGGAAAUGGAAUUCAAACUUUCACUACUGUGACAAUGAUUAGGGAGGGUCCUAAUGAACCAUUUGUUGGUUACACUGAGCGAUUCACAAAAGCACUGAAAGAAUUUGUGGCAGCACGAGGGGGGGCCUGACUUAGAUUCUCCAAUCAUGCUCCACACUGCGCAGUUAAAUAUGAAUGCUAAAUUUACACAGUUGUUUCAUUCUUCUCUGUCAACAAUUAUUGACUGAUCUUCUUUUGUUGCAUGGGGGACACGGGCUCAAGACAUCGUGGAACAACAAAAGAAGGGACUAGUUGCUGCAGUUGGUCAGACCUCUGCUCCAGCAUUUCGCUGUUAUCAUUGCCAACGUGAUGGUCACUACGCAAACAGAUGCCCUGAUCGAAAUUUAGAGUGAAAUUUCAGAAAGCCUAGUUCCUCUUUUCAACAACAGCAGACACCAAAACCACUUCCUCGAGAUCGUGCUAAAAAUAACCCUGGUGCAGAGAAGCAGGGUGCUGACCUGGAAGCAGGUUGAAAAACUGACAAGAGCUUUUGAGAAUACAGACUGACACAUAGUGGCCUUCAUUUUAUAUGAACACGAAGACCCUCAUCCAUUUUUACAUGCUAACCUAAGAGGCCAGGAUAGCUACAUUCUUGUGGGCCCUCGGGUCUGCAUCUCAGUAACUGUUAUUAAUUUGCCUUUAACAAACAAACAAAUGCAUCUUCAAGGUAUAUCUGGUCGCAGUCUUUUCACACAGUCUCUAUUGAUUUCUCCAAUAAUAUAUCCAUUUGAACAGCCUUUUUGGGUGCAAUUCUGGGUUGGAGAAAGCCAAGUUGGCAUGGUAAUGGGAAUGGAUAUAUUGAGUAAAUUGAAAGCAGAUGUUUUGCUGACUAGGGAUCAAUUAAUAAGUCAGUAUUUACCAAUUCCCAUACCAGUGUUUAACAAAACUGGAAUUCCUAAAUUAAGCCUUGGAGCUAUCACAGUUAAUGAAGUCACAGAGGUCUACUGAUUCCUCAGUGAUGCAAUAUUUUUCUGAAAAAUUUCCAAAUUUGUGGUCAACUUCUAAACUUGAUGUUGGUCUUUGCAGGAUUGAACCUUUGAAUGUUUCAGAUCCUAUACAUCCUCCAGUAUUCCAGUAUCCUCUUUAGAGAGAAGCAGAGUGAGCUGCACAGGAAAUUGUGAACCAGCUUCAGGAAUCAGGGAUUUUGAUGCCGUGUUUGAUGGCCUUGGACUGUGCUGAGUGGGCGUUGAAGGUCACUGAGGCCAUCGUCUGUUACAAUCAGAUGAUCCUUCACUCUCCACAUCGUUUUCUACGCAUGCUCGCAGAGACAAAAAUAAAGUUGAUUUCAAAUCAACGACAUGCAAAAUGGGAAACUGCUCUCAUGAACCCUCAGCUCACUGUUGUUGCAGACAACUGGACAAAUCCUGCCUCCCUAAUGGAGAAUGAGGGGAGUGCACAUGACUGCGCCGAGGUAAUUAUCUGUGACAGGGGACAUUUUGUCAGAGAUGAACCGUUUUCAGAUUCUCUGGACAUGUUCGUGGAUGGCAGCAGUUUCUACGAGGGGGACACACGCUACACGGGGUGGGCGGUAGUAGAGGGGAAGACGGGCGAGGUCUUGGCUGAGGGGUCGCUUCGGGAGGAAGUGCUCAGAUAGCUGAAUUGCAUGCUUUGAAUGCUGCCUUAAAUCUGGCUCUUAAACUAACUGCAGGUGAAAAUAGCUCCACUAAUGUAAAUAUUUUUACUGAUAGUGCAUACAGCUACCAUGUAGUGCAGAGUUAUGGCCCUGUUUGGAAACGUCGUGGGUAUUUGACCACAGCGGGUACGCCAAUAAGUCAUCAAACCGUAAUUGAAAAAAUUCUUGACACGUGUGAGAAAAUUCCACCAAACAGUGUCGCGGUAUGUAAAGUCACAGGUCACAGUACAUUCAAUGAUUGGUUGGCGAAAGGAAACUCUCUAGCUGAUAAGGCUGCGAGAGAAGCUGCAAAGGGUGUGGCACUUGAGGAAGUAGCUGUUAUUUUCCCUGUUCAUCCUGACUGCACGGGUUCCGAAACUUUAUCUAAAUUGUACACAACUGAGGAUCGUGAAAUGUGUCAGAAAUUAGGAGCUACCUUAACUGAAGAAGGGGUUUAUGCCCUGAAUGACAAAGUCAUUCCGCCUAGCGGAUAUCAAACUGAACUAAUUGAUUUGUACCACAGCAUUGCACACCAAGGGGUUCAGAAAACAUAUGCUAUGUUACAACAAACAUGGUUUUAGCCAGAGAUGUUACAAACUGUGAAGGAUAAGACUUUCCAGAUGUAUCCACUGUUUGCAAAUAAAGCUAUAAUUUGGAAAAGUUAAAAUCCCAAUUAGUCACAGUCCUCGCCCGCGAGGACCAUUCACACAUUUACGAUUGGAUUUUAUUUCGUUACCUUCUGAUCAUGGGUACAAAUAUGUAUUAGUCCUCGUUUGUGAAUUUUCCAGAUGAUCUGAAAGGGUAUAUUGGAUUUUCAGUCCCUCUCAUUGCACCAUGGUUCGGGAAUGAUAGAUUUUCAUAAAAUAGGGGUAUCUUUACUGGGAUUGUUAUAAGCAAUGUCUGUAUUUGGUAUCUGUGAGGUGACUGAGGGUCUGACCUAUGUCAGGAAUGCAAUAACAGUGAUUAUUCAUUUAGCCCGGCUUCCAGAGAAUAAUACAUAUAUACGUUUAUUGCAAAGAUUUUUUUUUCUUUUCGAUAUAACAAAUUAACCAAAAUUCAUCAUGGUUGUAUAAGACAUAUAAAAAGAAAAAAACAACUAAGUCAAAUUUCUUUCUAAAAGGUCUUUGGGUUUUAACUGUACCUUCCCCUAAAGCUCUGUUGUUGCGCUCAGGUCCUUCGGGUCCACUGAAAGACACUUUACAGGAGUAUCUUAAAGUACUCACGUGCGCAUUGAAGAAUGCCCAUUUCAGUGCCCUCAGUGCUCAACAUGCUGGAGAUCUUAAAAACGCUAUAUUCAAUGUAAAGGUUAAAAAUCACGUACAAGUGGGGGACGAAGUGAUGAUACAGAAAAUAGGGAACUUAGGACCAAUGUCCUUCAGGUAUGAGGGUCCUUAUUCGGUGUUGUUGACUACUCCAACAUCUCUUCUUGUUGAAAUCGAGCCAGGGCUGACUCGAUGGAUGCAUCUUGCACAAGUGAAGCCUCUGUCGCCGCUUGCUGAUACUAACUCUCUUUCUAAUGUGAUUUAGUCCAACAGGUGCAGUAUUUUAUAUCCAAGGAAUGGCUGCUAAGGAAGAACAAUGACUAAUUGUUUCCUCUCUUUAGGUUCUCAACUAUGAUUCCAUCCGGACCUGUUGUGUUAAUAAUAAUAAAAAAAAAAAAAUAAAAAAAAAGAGAGACUGAAAACCAUGGUGUUUAUGUUUGUGUGUAUUGGUGUUGUCCUGUUUGGUUGUCUAUGUGUCGUUGUGUAUUUGUUGUGUUUUUAUCCAAAUAUUUCUGCUCCUACUAUUCUAUAUCUCUAAUAGGUACGAGUGCAUGCUGUCCCAGAAAUAUUCUGCGUAUAUUUACCACACACGACUGGUUCUAAGGGUGACUCUUCGAUGUGACUUCUGCAACAGUGCAGCUCAUUGACAUUCUGGGAGUGGUUGCUGUGCUCGUGGCUAGACAUCAGUGUUUCAUCGCAUCAUCACAUCACUCGUUAACUCUACGUCAUCUGAGAGACCUGUGCUAAAGUCUACCAGCUGAUAUAUAUAGAUUUACAUAUAGAUCAAAAGAUAUUUUUAUUCUCCCAUUUAUACCAGUAGUCGUGAGGAAAUCUAUACCUUGCAGGUGAAGGGUAAGGAAAGGAAAGGUAUGAGAUGUUGAAAACGAUCAACGAAAGUUUGGAAAUAAACGACAUGGUACCAUAAGGACAAAUAUCUUCAACUACUAUCUGCCAAGGGCAAGAAGAGAAAGAACGAUGAUAGAGUUUAGAGUUGGGAAAGAUGGAAGGCUGUGGUAAGUCCUCAACCCAGCAAAAGUCCAGGGGACGCCAGGGGUCGAAUUUCCUUAGGAGUUCUCGUCUGGCCAUCUUGGUGAAGAUCUUUGUUAAUUUUAAGGUAGCUGGGGUUAGAGAGGUAUCUACAGUACUAUCUAUCUGAAAUUUUGCUAUUAAUUUUCUAUAUUUUCCUGUAUGCAUCAUGUAUUUUUCUUUUGAAUUACUCUGUAUUUCUGUAUUUUUGAUUUUGAUUUAAGGAAAAGGUUGUGGCGAGUCUUUUGAUAAGACUCGAGUGGGGGAUUGGUGUGUGGAGAUUCUAAGAAAUCCACAUGGUGAUAGAGAUUCUGAGAAGAAGUCCACGUAUUUAAAUUAAACCCAAGUGUUGUUGAGAGAUUCUGAGAAGUCACAUACUCAGAAUGUGUUCUAUUCAUAAUGAUAAGUUUAAUUUCAAAAGUUAAAAAUUAAUAUUUCAUGGUAAGGAUAUAUAUUAAC